This 344-nucleotide unclassified non-coding RNA is filed under the name soil metagenome. RNAcentral's name for it is "partial contains 5.8S ribosomal RNA, internal transcribed spacer 2, and large subunit ribosomal RNA". The stretch from base 1 to 119 matches the Rfam family "5.8S ribosomal RNA", at positions 35 to 154 of the family's 154-position model. The record is from RNAcentral.
GAUGAAGAACGCAGCGAAAUGCGAUACGUAAUGUGAAUUGCAAAUUCAGUGAAUCAUCGAGUCUUUGAACGCACAUUGCGCCCUCUGGUAUUCCGGAGGGCAUGCCUGUCCGAGCGUCAUUGCUGCCCUCAAGCACGGCUUGUGUGUUGGGCCCCGCCCCCCGAUCCCGGGGGGCGGGCCCGAAAGGCAGCGGCGGCACCGCGUCCGGUCCUCGAGCGUAUGGGGCUUUGUCACCCGCUCUGUAGGCCCGGCCGGCGCUUGCCGAUCAACCAAACUUUUUUCCAGGUUGACCUCGGAUCAGGUAGGGAUACCCGCUGAACUUAAGCAUAUCAAUAAGCGGAGGA